UGGUGGAGUGAUUUGUCUGGUUAAUUCCGAUAACGAACGAGACCCCAACCUGCUAACUAGACUGCGCUAUCUUCUCGAUAGCUCAGCGCUUCUUAGAGGGACAUUUCGGAUUUACCGGAAGGAAGUUUGGGGCGAUAACA
This 140-nucleotide ribosomal RNA is filed under the name uncultured eukaryote. Its description in RNAcentral is "partial 18S ribosomal RNA". It matches the Rfam family "Eukaryotic small subunit ribosomal RNA", at positions 1299 to 1458 of the family's 1831-position model. The record is from RNAcentral.